RNAcentral lists this ribosomal RNA (272 nucleotides) under Bacillus thuringiensis. RNAcentral describes it as "16S rRNA. Bacterial SSU". It matches the Rfam family "Bacterial small subunit ribosomal RNA", at positions 1 to 259 of the family's 1533-position model. The record is from RNAcentral. Lineage: Bacteria; Bacillati; Bacillota; Bacilli; Caryophanales; Bacillaceae.
CUUUAUUGGAGAGUUUGAUCCUGGCUCAGGAUGAACGCUGGCGGCGUGCCUAAUACAUGCAAGUCGAGCGAAUGGAUUAAGAGCUUGCUCUCAAGAAGUUAGCGGCGGACGGGUGAGUAACACGUGGGUAACCUGCCCAUAAGACUGGGAUAACUCCGGGAAACCGGGGCUAAUACCGGAUAACAUUUUGAACUGCAUGGUUCGAAAUUGAAAGGCGGCUUCGGCUGUCACUUAUGGAUGGACCCGCGUCGCAUUAGCUAGUUGGUGAGGUA